CCUGGCGGCCAUAGCGCGGUGGUCCCACCUGAUCCCAUGCCGAACUCAGAAGUGAAACGCCGUAGCGCCGAUGGUAGUGUGGGG
RNAcentral lists this ribosomal RNA (84 nucleotides) under Yersinia pestis. The record is from RNAcentral. Lineage: Bacteria; Pseudomonadati; Pseudomonadota; Gammaproteobacteria; Enterobacterales; Yersiniaceae.